AUGAGCGACACGCUCCCGUGCAACGCACGCUCCCCGUGCGACGCAUGCAUCUCGUGGGAUCUGCGAGUCCGUUGUGACUACGUACCCAACCUUGGCUCGGCGCUGCUGAUCUUCCGGCCGGGUGCGAUUCGCCGGCGGGGGCGGAGGCUAGAGCUCGUCGACGGCGAAGAGGUGGUGGUGGAUGCUCGAAGUUGGCCGGAGGAUGAGGAGAUCAGGUUGGGCCGGAUGGUGGUGUUCCCCUGCCACCUGGCGCGUUUUGCGACGGCUGACGGGUGGGGCGCGUUGGUGGCGGUUCCCGAGGUGAUUAAUGGCGACGAGGGGGAGGGGAGAGGGGUUAUCUGGCCGACGCAUCGGCUUUUCUCCAUUUCCUCCACCGCUCCCCCUCUCGUAGAUCCGAUCCAAAAUCACCUCUGCGCCGCGCAGCCCACGCAGUUAGGGUCCGAUGACGACGCGCCAGCAGCAGAUGUGGGCGCUGGCGACCGGCGACGAGGUGCUGAUGUGGAGGCUUCAAGAGAUCGACCGAUGGUUCCCGACGGCGAAGGCCCUCAACAACGCUUCCGAGAUGGUGAGGGAUAUGCUCAGGAGGGAAGAGACCCUCCGCUGCUUCCCCAACUACGACCAAUAGCCGGCGAUGGGGGUGCUCCUCUGGGCGAUGCUGGAGGCGGAAUCGCUAGAUCCGGCGCAGCGGGAGAAGUGGAAAGUGUUCUGCUCCCUCGGCUACCGUCUGAUUCAGCCGAGAGGGCCGCCGCCGGUGCAGGCGCAAGGGGUGCCGCAGCCGCAGCCGCAGGAGGGGCGGCAGGCGCCUCCGCAGGCGAUGAUGGUGGGGAUCCCAGCGACGGGGUCCAGAUGGGUUCCAAUCGAGAUCGAGGAGGACGAGAAGGAAGAGAAGGUGGUGAUGGCAACGCCAAGACGCAGGAGGACGCCGGUGACUCCAACUCUCCCUCGCCGCUCCCCUCGCUUCCCGAGGCGCUCGUCUCGCCUCCUUGCCCUCUCCCGCCGCCAGUAGGGUUCUCGCCGGCCAGGAAUCGUUUCUGGUUGCUCGCCGGUGAGGGCUCCGAGGCGGAGGAGGAGGGGAUUCCCAAUUUCUUCAACAAAGGUAUGAGUCCGAAUCCUAGAUACUUAGCAUCUACUGCUUCAAUUGAGGUGGGUGGUGCCAAAAUGGGAAGAAUCAAAGGAAACGCUAGAUUCCGAAAUAAAAAUAAUGAGAGAAAUGGGUUAAAAUCCCAGAAUGCAGAUGACUGCAAAGAAUUGUUGGAGAGGAGUGGGGAUGGGUUGCAUAAGAUCAACAUAGAAGGGAUUGAAGGGGGAUUUGCUGAUAAUAAUGGUAGAAAUGGUAGAAUUGAUGCACAAUCAGUAUGUGAACAUAUGAAAAAGGAUGCUAUACAUCCUAUUCCACAGUGGUUUGAUUCUGUUGGGGUUGAUUUUGGGGACAUAGUGAUUCGUGGGAAUCCAAUCGAAGCCCCCGGCAUCCCAAUGAGAAAUGCAAAAAGGAGAGUUGAGGAGGAUAACAUGGGGAGACCCCUAAUUAUUUUUGGGGGCUCGAUAGGGAAAUAUUUGAAUGUGGACCUGGAGUUGGGCUUGAUGGGGUGGGGGCUCAAUGGGCUGACGGACACCAUGGCCCAGGAAAGUGAGGGUGGGGUGGCAGCUAUAAAAAGGGGUGAGGGUGAUGGGGUUAACCAACCUCAUCAGGUAGGUUUUCCCUCCCUUCCCACCACGCCGCCGCCAGCUAAAGAGAUGGCCGGAAACCUAGGCAGAGGGUUUGGAGGGCCCAGAUUCAACCUUGGAGGAGAGGGAGUGACGGUGUCCUGGACUAGGGGGUACUCACCACGUCCUCUCCCGAUCAGUUGGAUUGGGUCGAGGACCCCCAUGGCCGUAUACUCAUGGGCCAGUCCGGACAGCUGCCGCAUACAAGGAAGAAUCAACAAGACUUGGCGAUCAAGACAAGGACUCCUCCCCCACCGGCGUAUUCGGCUAGGACUCUUGUUAUCCUAG
RNAcentral lists this ribosomal RNA (1992 nucleotides) under Triticum aestivum (bread wheat). RNAcentral's name for it is "partial small subunit ribosomal RNA". Lineage: Eukaryota; Viridiplantae; Streptophyta; Magnoliopsida; Poales; Poaceae. The record is from RNAcentral.